RNAcentral lists this ribosomal RNA (404 nucleotides) under uncultured bacterium. RNAcentral describes it as "bacterial SSU rRNA". It matches the Rfam family "Bacterial small subunit ribosomal RNA", at positions 355 to 776 of the family's 1533-position model. The record is from RNAcentral.
UGGGGAAUAUUGGACAAUGGGGGCAACCCUGAUCCAGCCAUGCCGCGUGAGUGAAGAAGGCCUUAGGGUUGUAAAGCUCUUUCGACGGGGACGAUGAUGACGGUACCCGUAGAAGAAGCCCCGGCUAACUUCGUGCCAGCAGCCGCGGUAAUACGAAGGGGGCAAGCGUUGUUCGGAUUUACUGGGCGUAAAGGGCGCGUAGGCGGAUAUUCAAGUCAGAGGUGAAAGCCCUGGGCUCAACCCGGGAAUUGCCUUUGAAACUGGAUGUCUUGAGUAUGGGAGAGGGUGGCGGAAUACCCAGUGUAGAGGUGAAAUUCGUAGAUAUUGGGUAGAACACCAGUGGCGAAGGCGGCCACCUGGCCCAUAACUGACGCUGAGGCGCGAAAGCGUGGGGAGCAAACAGG